GGGGAACCUGAUGCAGCGAUGCCGCGUGAGCGAUGAAGGUCUUCGGAUCGUAAAGCUCUGUCCUUAGGGAAGAAUAUUGACGGUACCUAAGGAGGAAGCCCCGGCUAACUACGUGCCAGCAGCCGCGGUAAUACGA
Molecule: ribosomal RNA, 136 nt
Filed under: uncultured Alkaliphilus sp.
Lineage: Bacteria; Bacillati; Bacillota; Clostridia; Peptostreptococcales; Natronincolaceae
Description: partial 16S ribosomal RNA
Rfam family: Bacterial small subunit ribosomal RNA
Source: RNAcentral